CCUACGGGAGGCAGCAGUGAGGAAUAUUGGUCAAUGGGCGCGAGCCUGAACCAGCCAAGUCGCGUGAGGGAAGACGGUCCUAUGGAUUGUAAACCUCUUUUGUCGGGGAGCAAAAGACGCCACGCGUGGCGGUCCGAGAGUACCCGAAGAAAAAGCAUCGGCUAACUCCGUGCCAGCAGCCGCGGUAAUACGGAGGCUGCGAGCGUUAUCCGGAUUUAUUGGUUUUAAAGGGUGCGCAGGCGGAAGAUCAAGUCAGCGGUAAAAUUGAGGUGCUAAACCUUUUCGAGCCGUUGAAACUGGUUUUCUUGAGUGAGUGAGAAGUAUGCGGAAUGCGUGGUGUAGCGGUGAAAUGCAGAGAUAUCACGCAGAACUCCGAUUGCGAAGGCAGCAUACCGGCGCUCAACUGACGCUCAUGCACGAAAGUGUGGGUAUCGAACAGGAUUAGAUACCCCAGUAGUC
RNAcentral lists this ribosomal RNA (459 nucleotides) under uncultured bacterium. Its description in RNAcentral is "partial 16S ribosomal RNA". It matches the Rfam family "Bacterial small subunit ribosomal RNA", at positions 338 to 795 of the family's 1533-position model. The record is from RNAcentral.